Molecule: ribosomal RNA, 1878 nt
Filed under: Triticum aestivum (bread wheat)
Lineage: Eukaryota; Viridiplantae; Streptophyta; Magnoliopsida; Poales; Poaceae
Description: partial small subunit ribosomal RNA
Source: RNAcentral
AUGGCGUCCCCGACCGCUGCGGCCUCCCCGACCGUUGCGGCCUCCCCGACCCGUGCCCUCGCUGACACCACCGCGCCCUCGCCGGCCUCCCCGCCGCGCCGCCUCGCCUCGGCGCCGCCCGGCGUGGACGCGUCCGCGGUCUCCUCCCCGGUAUCCGCCCACUCCGGGGACCUCUCCGCCUGCGAUGUCUCGAGCCCGUUCCUCGCUAGUAGGAGCGAGGAGUACAGGCUGAUGUUCCGGCUCCCACCGGACGAGGUCCUUGUGCAAGAUUUUAACUGCGCCCUCCAAGAAAAUAUUCUUCUUCAGGGGCAUAUGUAUUUAUUUCUACACCAUAUAUGCUUCUAUUCUAACAUUUUCGGAUACGAGACGAAGAAAACUAUACCUUUACAGGAUGUCACUGAUGUUCGUAAAGCAAAAACAGCUGCUAUUUUUCCUAACGCCAUAGAAAUUGUUGCUGGUGCGAAGAGGCAUUUUUUUGGAUCUUUCUUGGUGCGCGAUGAAGCUUAUCGUAUUAUAGUAGAUGGUUGGGAACAGCAUGUUAGCGAUGCUAGGUUGCUCAUUGAACGUCAGGAUGCAAAGUCAGCAAGCAGCAGUGACGAAAAUGGUUACAUUUUAUUGGAAGAAGGAAAAGAAUCUAAACAAGAUGAAGGCUCGUCGCCAUCGAACAGGUCUGCCAAUCCUACAGCUAUCAUCGGGGGUAGUACUGAUUGUGGUGAUCCAGAUGCCAGUACUUCUAAAAGAUUCUUAAAAGCGCCAGUGGAUGGAACCGAGGACAACCCUGGAUCUCUUAACCCAUUCAACUUGCAGCCGUUUGAUGAUGAUGCUCCUAAUGUACCUGAAUCAUAUACUUUGAUCACGGAGUCUAAGUUUCAGGUGCCUGUGGAAGUUUUCUUUAAUGUCUUACUCUCUGAUGGCGCCCUUGGCUUUCUGGAUGAUCUCCACAAAAAGUGUGGUGACAAAGAAUUUCGUUGUUCCAAUUGGCGUUUGUAUGAGCAAGGAGGACUUGUAAGAGAUGUCUCAUUCUUGCACCCAAUUAAAAUUUAUCUUGGUGCAAAAUUUGGGACAUGUCAGGAGGUUCAGAAGCUUCGUCUGUACAGAAACAGUCAUGUUGUGAUUCAGACAUCUCAAGAAAUUGGUGAUGCACCAUACGGGGACCAUUUCAUUGUUGAGGGAAUCUGGGAUGUUGAACAAGAUAGCGUAGAUGAGAACAGUUGCCACCUCAGGGUAUAUACUAAUGUAGCGUUCUCGAAGAGGACCAUUUUUAGAGGGAAAAUAGAGCAAUCAACAAAGGAUGAAUGCCGUGAGGUUUUUGGUCUCUGGAUCAAGCUUGCCCAUGAUAUUUUGAAGCAGGAUAGCAUCUCUCGGAAAGGAGCCUCCAUCACCAUGAACGCUGAUGUUGAAUCAGGGCCUAGUCUGAACAUUGAAGGUCCUUUGGAAAAUACAGUCGCAUACAUGGCUUCGGCACCAUACGAUUCUGGUUUGAGUAGCCUUGUUCCUCCCAUUGAACAUCGUCAACAAAGCGUAGGCACUUUGGCAUCCACUUCACAAGAAUUCUGGGGCUCACUCGCCUCAUAUAUGAGGUCUAGUCAAUUUGGUCCGGUUUUAGGAGUGAUGCUGGUGGCCAUCGUUAUCUUAAUGCAGGUAACAAUCAUCGUUCUGCUCAGUAGAUCCCCCAAGGUCCUCAUGGUCAGUCCCGAGGCUUCUGCGAGCGGCUUGGGUUCAUAUAGCAAGGAGAGCAUAGAGUGGUUGCAGAAGCGAGUGAGCUUACUGAGCGAGGAGAUGCACAUGGCGGAGGCGCACAUGGAGAAGAUGGGCCACGAGUUUGCAUGGCUCAAGUCUCACCUUGAAAGACUGGAGAGGUUGAGGAGCAGCUCAUGA